This 618-nucleotide ribosomal RNA is filed under the name Staphylococcus epidermidis. RNAcentral's name for it is "bacterial SSU rRNA". It matches the Rfam family "Bacterial small subunit ribosomal RNA", at positions 78 to 681 of the family's 1533-position model. Lineage: Bacteria; Bacillati; Bacillota; Bacilli; Caryophanales; Staphylococcaceae. The record is from RNAcentral.
GCUUGCUCCUCUGACGUUAGCGGCGGACGGGUGAGUAACACGUGGAUAACCUACCUAUAAGACUGGGAUAACUUCGGGAAACCGGAGCUAAUACCGGAUAAUAUAUUGAACCGCAUGGUUCAAUAGUGAAAGACGGUUUUGCUGUCACUUAUAGAUGGAUCCGCGCCGCAUUAGCUAGUUGGUAAGGUAACGGCUUACCAAGGCAACGAUGCGUAGCCGACCUGAGAGGGUGAUCGGCCACACUGGAACUGAGACACGGUCCAGACUCCUACGGGAGGCAGCAGUAGGGAAUCUUCCGCAAUGGGCGAAAGCCUGACGGAGCAACGCCGCGUGAGUGAUGAAGGUCUUCGGAUCGUAAAACUCUGUUAUUAGGGAAGAACAAAUGUGUAAGUAACUAUGCACGUCUUGACGGUACCUAAUCAGAAAGCCACGGCUAACUACGUGCCAGCAGCCGCGGUAAUACGUAGGUGGCAAGCGUUAUCCGGAAUUAUUGGGCGUAAAGCGCGCGUAGGCGGUUUUUUAAGUCUGAUGUGAAAGCCCACGGCUCAACCGUGGAGGGUCAUUGGAAACUGGAAAACUUGAGUGCAGAAGAGGAAAGUGGAAUUCCAUGUGGUUAGC